Molecule: ribosomal RNA, 497 nt
Filed under: uncultured bacterium
Lineage: Bacteria
Description: partial 16S ribosomal RNA
Rfam family: Bacterial small subunit ribosomal RNA
Source: RNAcentral
GAUGAACGCUGGCGGCGUGCCUAAUACAUGCAAGUCGAGCGAACAGACGAGGAGCUUGCUCCUCUGACGUUAGCGGCGGACGGGUGAGUAACACGUGGAUCACCUACCUCUAAGACUGGGAUAACUUCGGGAAACCGCAGCUACUACCAGAUAAUAUAUUGAACCGCAUGGUUCAAUAGUGAAAGACGGUUUUGCUGUCACUUAUAGAUGGAUCCGCGCCGCAUUAGCUAGUUGGUAAGGUAACGGCUUACCAAGGCAACGAUGCGUAGCCGACCUGAGAGGGUGAUCGGCCACACUGGAACUGAGACACGGUCCAGACUCCUACGGGAGGCAGCAGUAGGGAAUCUUCCGCAAUGGGCGAAAGCCUGACGGAGCAACGCCGCGUGAGUGAUGAAGGUCUUCGGAUCGUAAAGCUCUGUUAUUAGGGAAGAACAAAUGUGUAAGUAACUAUGGACGUCUUGACGGUACCUAAUCAGAAAGCCACGGCUAACUACGUG